CCGGGUGUAGCGCAGUUGGUAGCGCGCUUGGUUCGGGACCAAGAGGCCGUGGGUUCAAAUCCCGCCACUCGGACCA
This 76-nucleotide transfer RNA is filed under the name Oscillibacter valericigenes. RNAcentral's name for it is "tRNA-Pro". It matches the Rfam family "tRNA". From Rfam's summary of the family: Transfer RNA (tRNA) molecules are approximately 80 nucleotides in length. Their secondary structure includes four short double-helical elements and three loops (D, anti-codon, and T loops). Further hydrogen bonds mediate the characteristic L-shaped molecular structure. tRNAs have two regions of fundamental functional importance: the anti-codon, which is responsible for specific mRNA codon recognition, and the 3' end, to which the tRNAs corresponding amino acid is attached (by aminoacyl-tRNA synthetases). tRNAs cope with the degeneracy of the genetic code in two manners: having more than one tRNA (with a specific anti-codon) for a particular amino acid; and 'wobble' base-pairing, i.e. permitting non-standard base-pairing at the 3rd anti-codon position. The record is from RNAcentral. RNAcentral also lists the same sequence under 22 other names. Lineage: Bacteria; Bacillati; Bacillota; Clostridia; Eubacteriales; Oscillospiraceae.